RNAcentral lists this ribosomal RNA (254 nucleotides) under uncultured bacterium. RNAcentral's name for it is "partial 16S ribosomal RNA". It matches the Rfam family "Bacterial small subunit ribosomal RNA", at positions 524 to 776 of the family's 1533-position model. The record is from RNAcentral.
CACGUAGGGGGCGAGCGUUGUCCGGAUUUAUUGGGCGUAAAGGGCUCGUAGGCGGCUCAGUAAGUCAGGUGUGAAACCUCCAGGCUCAACCUGGAGACGCCACCUGAUACUGCUGUGGCUAGAGUCCGGUAGGGGAGCAUGGAAUUCCUGGUGUAGCGGUGAAAUGCGCAGAUAUCAGGAGGAACACCAGUGGCGAAGGCGGUGCUCUGGGCCGGAACUGACGCUGAUGAGCGAAAGCGUGGGGAGCAAACAGG